UUUUUUUUCUUUUUAUUAUUAUUAUUACACUUUUAAGUAUUAGGGUACAUGUGCACAAUGUGCAGGUUAGUUACAUAUGUAUACAUGUGCCAUGCUGGCGUGUUGCACCCAUUAACUCGUCAUUUAGCAUUAGGGAUAUCUCCUAAUGCUAUCCCUCCCCGCUUCCCCCACCGCACAACAGUCCCCAGAGUGUGAUGUUCCCCUUCCUGUGUCCAUGUGUUCUCAUUGUUCAAUUCCCAUCUAUGAGUGAGAACGUGCGGUGUUCGGUUUUUUGUCCUUGCGAUAGUUUACUGAGAAUGAUGAUUUCCAAUUUCACCCAUGUCCCUACAAAGGACAUGAACUCAUCAUUUUUUAUGGCUGCAUAGUAUUCCAUGGUGUGUAUGUGCCACAUUUUCUUAAUCCAGUCUAUCAAUGUCCAACAAAGAUUUGGCUUUCUUUUCAUUUAGAAAGAAGCUCUCACAGUGGAAGACUAUAAUAUGACAUAAGAAGAAAUGUGGACUUGGAGAUACAGAAGAGACAGGGUCUCGCUCUGUUACCCAGGCUGGAGUGUAGUGGCACGAUCUAAGGUCACUGCAACCUCCGCCUCUGGGGUUCAAGCCUCCCACCUCAGCCUACCAAGCAACUGGGACUACAGACAGGGUCUCAUUCCUGUUGCUCAGGCUGGAGUACAGUGGCAUGAUCUUGGCUCACUGCAGCUUCGACCUCCCGGGCUCAGGUGAUUCUCCCACCUCAGCCUCCCAAGCAACUGGAACUACCCAGCUAGUCCUACCAUGACCGGUUAGUUUUUUGUAUUUUUAAUAGAGACAUGGUUUCACCACAUUGCCCAGGCUAGUCCUGAACUCCCGGACUCAAGCAGUCCACCCACCUAGGCCUCCUAAAGUGCUAGAAUUACAGGCGUGAGCCACUGUGCCCAGCCUGUUACAUCUACAUUAGAUAUAUACAUAUAUAAUUAUUUAUAUAUUUUAUAUAUGUAAUUAUUUCCUAAUGAAAUAACAGACAACAUGGUAAUCAAACAAGGAAAGAAAGAAGUAUAUGUGAAAGUAUAAAAACCCUCAGAAAACACAUCAGAUGAGUCAGUAAAACUAGUUGUGAAUAGUCACACAUGCCUGUAAUCCCAGCUACUUGGAAGGCUGAGGUAGGAGGAUUGCUUGAGCUCAGGAGUUUGAGACCAGCCUGGGCAACACGCAUGACACCAUCUCAAGAAAAAAAAAAUUGUUGUGGAAUACCAGAUUAAUAAAUACUACUUUUUAAGCAUAAUCCUUGCAUUUCAGUUCCUAAAAUAGUCAAACAGUGGUAGACAUACUCUAAAUCUUCAAAACAAUAAGUGAGUCAUAAAUCUCUUUACUGUAAGUUCUCACAGUCCCUUGCACUUUCAAAAACCUCCUCACAUUUGCAUUUACAUUUUUAAUGCCUAUCUUCCUAGGGAAUAUUCUCUCAAGUACUUGGUGAAGUAUAUGAACUGUUAAUUGUCUUAUUAACUGCAGAUCCCCAGUGCGAAGUCAGUGCCAAAAACAAGUCAUUAUUUAGGUAAAUACAUAGUCAUUGAAUUAUUGAAUAAUAUAUAAAUAUUGAAUUGAAUGAAACAUUCCUUUUUCAGAAAUAAAGU
RNAcentral lists this long non-coding RNA (1606 nucleotides) under Homo sapiens (human). RNAcentral describes it as "PREDICTED lncRNA (TCONS_00084963)". The record is from RNAcentral. Lineage: Eukaryota; Metazoa; Chordata; Mammalia; Primates; Hominidae.